GACGAACGCUGGCGGCGUGCUUAACACAUGCAAGUCGAACGGAAAGGCCCUGCUUUUGUGGGGUGCUCGAGUGGCGAACGGGUGAGUAACACGUGAGUAACCUGCCCUUGACUUUGGGAUAACUUCAGGAAACUGGGGCUAAUAUCGGAUAGGAGCUCCUGCUGCAUGGUGGGGGUUGGAAAGUUUCGGCGGUUGGGGAUGGACUCGCGGCUUAUCAGCUUGUUGGUGGGGUAGUGGCUUACCAAGGCUUUGACGGGUAGCCGGCCUGAGAGGGUGACCGGCCACAUUGGGACGGAGGUACGGCCCAGACGGCUACGGGAGGAAGCAGUGGAGAAUAUUGCACAAAGGGCGGAAGCCUGAUGCAGCAACGCCGCGUGCGGGAAGACGGCCUUCGGGUUGUAAACCGCUUUCGCCUGUGACGAAGCGUGAGGGACGGGAAUGGGUAAAGAAGCACCGGCUAACUACGU
RNAcentral lists this ribosomal RNA (467 nucleotides) under uncultured bacterium. RNAcentral describes it as "partial 16S ribosomal RNA". It matches the Rfam family "Bacterial small subunit ribosomal RNA", at positions 28 to 506 of the family's 1533-position model. The record is from RNAcentral.